Molecule: ribosomal RNA, 411 nt
Filed under: Verrucomicrobiota bacterium
Lineage: Bacteria; Pseudomonadati; Verrucomicrobiota
Description: Verrucomicrobia bacterium partial 16S ribosomal RNA
Rfam family: Bacterial small subunit ribosomal RNA
Source: RNAcentral
UGGGGAAUAUUGCGUAAUGGGGGAAACCCUGACGCAGCGACGCCGCGUGCGGGAUGAAUGCCUUUGGGUUGUAAACCGCUUUGGAUUGGGAGCAAGCUUUCGGGUGAGUGUACCUUUCGAAUAAGCGCCGGCUAACUACGUUCCAGCAGCCGCGGUAAUACGUAGGGCGCAAGCGUUAUCCGGAAUUAUUGUGCGUAAAGAGCUUGUAGGCGGUCCGUCGCGUCUGGUGUGAAAGCCCAUCGCUUAACGGUGGGUUUGCGACGGGUACGGGCGGGUUAGAGUGCAGUAGGGGAGACUGGAAUUGCCGGUGUAACGGUGGCAUGUGUAGAUAUCGGGAAGAACACCAAUGGCGAAGGCAGGUCUCUAGGCUGUUACUGACGCUGAGAAGCGAAAGCGUGGGGAGCGAACAGG